CUCAGGGAGGAAUGCCCAUUGUCCGCUCUGCCCAGUACCCAGCUCUACCCACCACCUUUUCUUACGAUACCAAGAGACUGCGAUAUUGA
Molecule: long non-coding RNA, 89 nt
Filed under: Mustela putorius furo (domestic ferret)
Lineage: Eukaryota; Metazoa; Chordata; Mammalia; Carnivora; Mustelidae
Description: lncRNA (ENSMPUG00000024941.1)
Source: RNAcentral